This 444-nucleotide long non-coding RNA is filed under the name Homo sapiens (human). RNAcentral's name for it is "HSALNT0039092". Lineage: Eukaryota; Metazoa; Chordata; Mammalia; Primates; Hominidae. The record is from RNAcentral.
AGUAAGACUCCUUGGCAGAGCUCUCAAUGCUCUUUAACCAGUGCCAAGCAGUCACAAGGGUGCUGGACUUCACUCAAGUCAUCAAGCCUGAUCUCAUAGGAAGGGCCAUCUAGGACUCUUCUGUUGCCAGGGAUGUCUGCCUGUGGUCCUUAGGUUAGAGCAGAAAGGAGAGAAAGUAGCUCGUGGUGAAAACAGAAGUCACCAAGGGCCUACUACAUGGAAAUACUUGCUGCCAAUUCUAAUUCACAAGUUCAGAUGCACCUGAGGACAACCCAAUCCAAAGCAUCCCAUGCAGGAACCAGGCCCUCUCACCCAGAGCUGUCAGAAAGGCCACUUGGGAAUCACUGCGGUGCCCAACUGAAGAUUUCUGACCACUUCAACCUGGUGGAUUCUGGUGCUUAAUCCUGAAUCCAAAGAAAUAAAAUGAGCUGUGAAGAAAGAACU